This is a long non-coding RNA of Herpailurus yagouaroundi (jaguarundi), 506 nucleotides long. RefSeq lists it as uncharacterized. Lineage: Eukaryota; Metazoa; Chordata; Mammalia; Carnivora; Felidae. The transcript is spliced from 2 exons. The record is from RefSeq and is a predicted model, not a curated record.
CGGCCCUGACGUGGCGCCACGGGGACGGCAGCCGAGUCUGUCCCCCUGGCCUGCACACGAGCGUGCACGCGGGCAGCUCGGAUCUUCUGCGUGUUACACGGAACCAGAUGCUGGGAGGUCUGCUGCUGAACCACCCAGGGCACCUUUUCAGCACUAAGACACUUGCAAAGCAAAUAGGGAAGAAGCCCCAGUAAGCACAAGCCCUGCAUCCAGCAGGUGAGUUUCCCCGACAGCUUCCUCAGUCCUGGAACGAGGCGUUCGGCGCUGGCGGCCCCUGCCUGCCCAGCAUGAGAGGUGCUCAGCACAGACUUGCUGGAUGAAUGGGUGAGAUGUGCCCUAUUUUUAUUCUUACGCCCAGCUGCCCACGGGACACCACCCGCGGGAAUGACCAGCUGGAAUCUCAAGUCCAAAACCAGGCUCCGGAUUUCUUCUGCCUUCACCGUCGAGGCCACGGCAUCACCUGUCGCCUUACUCCUCGAGCCCAUAAACAUUUUAAAAGAAUUGCA